Molecule: long non-coding RNA, 937 nt
Organism: Cavia porcellus (domestic guinea pig)
Lineage: Eukaryota; Metazoa; Chordata; Mammalia; Rodentia; Caviidae
Exons: 2
Source: RefSeq, a predicted model, not a curated record
CCUUUCACCACACUUCAGCCAGGCUCUUGUUAUAAAGAAAUUGCUGCAGGCUUUCAACAAAAAAAGACAGAAAUGUUCAAGUGUGGCUUUUCCUCCCAUCUUAAUAGGCUCAAUGCAAACUCCCCACUGAGGGUCUGAGAGGCUGAAACGCAUUGUUACUGUCUACCUUAGCGGCUCGCUCCCGUCUGCUCCGCAGAGUGGCCUCGUUUAGCCAGGCCGUUCCUACCGCCAUCCAUCGGGAGCUCGGCUAAUGAGCAGAGGAGGAAGAGCCGAGUCUCGCUCACACACCAACACGCCACUUAUCUGAAUUAUUAUUUUACCAGCAAAGAGGGGAGGAGGGCGUCGCGAGCAGGGAGAAAGUUUGUUUGACCUUAUUUCCCUCUUCCGCAGCAGGCUGGGAAGGCAGGCAGCUGAGCCCACGUCCAGGCUGAGCUCAACUCCCCACCUCCACCUGCGGACCCUGAACCCUACAGAGCCCCACUGUCGGGGGCGUGGGGGGUCCGACGAAACACGGGGGAGAGAGGAAGGAGGGAAGGCGCAGGGCUCACGAAAGCCUCAGAGACCCAAGGGUUUUAUGCCACGUGUCAAGUUGUAAGCUCAUCUCAGCUCUUCUGACCUAGAGAAGUAACCAGAAGAGUUCUGUGAUGAACACUGCUUAGCUAGUGUUUCUCAGAAUUCUUUCCCUGGAAAUCCCACCAAAAACCGAUUGUGACAUCUGACAUCAUUCUCUGCACUUCUGAGAUGACACACAAACAGGCUGAAAAGUUCACCUAGAGUAAUGUAACAGCUUUAGGAUUGUAAUUCAGUGCUGUCCUCUGGCCAAAAUAUUUUGAACCAUCUAAUGAAAAGACCAUACGUUGCAAAGAAAUAGAUCACCAGUUUUUGGGUGCUUUUUCAUUAUUUUUAAAUAAAUGACCAAUUUCGUUUCUUCUCAGAA